Long non-coding RNA from Tarenaya hassleriana, 732 nucleotides. RefSeq lists it as uncharacterized. Lineage: Eukaryota; Viridiplantae; Streptophyta; Magnoliopsida; Brassicales; Cleomaceae. The transcript is spliced from 3 exons. The record is from RefSeq and is a predicted model, not a curated record.
CCAUGAUCAAUUUCCAGAUAAAAAGCCCGCUGAGAAGUGAGCGCGAGGAAGAGAAGAAAAUGGAUCAGCGGCCUUCUUCUCCGUAAUGAACUGGUUCAGCCCCCUACAUGUGAAUCUCGUGCGAAUGUCUGGGUUUUGCAUUGUUUUCUGUUCUACGGCGAAAGUUUCGAACUUUUAAGGGUUGGUGUCUCUCUCAACGUUCGAACUUUUAAUCUGCGUAUCUGAUCACGACUGCAGUUGGCACGACAAGUGGAUGUUGUUUGAGCAAUACCGCUGGAGGAAAGCCAGGGCAAAGAUCCAGCCUUACGAAUUCAAGGUUGAAAUUUUUACGUUCCUGAAUCUCGUUUCACGGAUAUAUGCUAUAUGGCAUGCCUUGAUAUAUUUGCUUGGGCUGCUUUUGAAAAUCUUCCCGUGUUCUCCUUUGUUCCCAAUGGAAUAAGAUACCUAUAGAAGUCCGAGACGCGUACUAUUAAGUACGAAUGUCCUUUAUGUUUCCCAUAGAAGCCUCCUUAUCUCAUCUGCUUUGUGACAGAGAGUGGAAGUAGAACAAGAACUUGUAAACGGCAUGAGAAUCUGUCUGUACUUGUGUGGUGUUCUAUUCUUGUCCUGUUGGAUUGAGGUACUUGUAUUGGUUUAAGAUUAUACGUUUUUGUUUCUCUGGUUAAAGUAUCUUGUUUCAGUGGCAGACCAGUCUUUCUGACAAUUAGCAAGAGCGAACUACAUUGUGUUUCA